RNAcentral lists this ribosomal RNA (374 nucleotides) under uncultured organism. RNAcentral's name for it is "bacterial SSU rRNA". It matches the Rfam family "Bacterial small subunit ribosomal RNA", at positions 526 to 896 of the family's 1533-position model. The record is from RNAcentral.
CGUAGGGACCGAGCGUUGUCCGGAUUCAUUGGGCGUAAAGAGCUCGUAGGCGGCUGCUCAAGUCGAAUGUGAAACCUCGAGGCUUAACCUCGAGCCUGCAUUCGAUACUGGGCGGCUAGAGUCUGGGUAGGGGGAUCUGGAAUUCCUGGUGUAGCGGUGGAAUGCGCAGAUAUCAGGAGGAACACCGGUGGCGAAGGCGGGAUCCUGGGCCAGUACUGACGCUGAGGAGCGAAAGCGUGGGGAGCAAACAGGAUUAGAUACCCUGGUAGUCCACGCCGUAAACGAUGGGCGCUAGGUGUGGGAGGUCAUCGACUCCUUCCGUGCCGCAGCUAACGCAUUAAGCGCCCCGCCUGGGGAGUACGGCCGCAAGGCUA